AAGGUGAUGAUUCAGUUGAUAAUAUAUUAAAUUUUUUUUUUAAUUAUCAUUCUGCUUUGGCCAAAGACUUCCAAAAUUAUCAUCUUAUAAGAUCACAUAGGAAGUUCGCUCUCCUUAUUAGAAGUGACUGAUCCCUUAUUAAUUACUCACAACCUCUAUGCAUACUUCACCAUAUCCAGAACACCCCACACAAGGAUCAAAAAACUAAACUAGGUAGUGAACCAAAAUAUGGAUUCAUAUACACAAGGUACCAUGGUAAUCUCAGGUCUAAGGAUCACUUAUACAACUUUCACUAGAGAAUCAUCAGUUGAUAUGUAAAUAAGAUUCCAUCUGAUAUUUUUUCACAGGUCAAUUCAGUGAAUUCAUUCUCUAAUGAGCACCCAUAUCUUUGUAUUAGUGUCACCACACAAGUGGUUGUGAGAUCCACCACACAAGUGGUUGUGAGAUCAACCACCCUCAUUUCUGAGCGUACAUAGGACAUACCAGUCUUAUCG
Molecule: long non-coding RNA, 494 nt
Filed under: Elaeis guineensis (African oil palm)
Lineage: Eukaryota; Viridiplantae; Streptophyta; Magnoliopsida; Arecales; Arecaceae
Description: long non-coding RNA (EGUI_LNC057694)
Source: RNAcentral